This 576-nucleotide ribosomal RNA is filed under the name bacterium enrichment culture clone MA11. RNAcentral's name for it is "bacterial SSU rRNA". It matches the Rfam family "Bacterial small subunit ribosomal RNA", at positions 324 to 916 of the family's 1533-position model. The record is from RNAcentral.
AAUUCGCCCUUACUCCUACGGGAGGCAGCAGUAGGGAAUAUUGGUUAAUGUGCGAAAGCGCGAACCAGCAACGCCGCGUGUGCGAUGAAGGCCUUCGGGUCGUAAAGCACUUUUUGCAGGGACGAGGAAGGACGGUACCUGCAGAAUAAGUCUCGGCUAACUACGUGCCAGCAGCCGCGGUAAACGUAGGAGACGAGCGUUAUCCGGAUUUACUGGGCGUAAAGCGCGUGCAGGCGGCAUGGCAAGUUGGAUGUGAAAGCUCCCGGCUUAACUGGGAGAGGUCGUUCAAUACUGCCAGGCUUGAGAGUGGUAGAGGGAAGCGGAAUUCCGGGUGUAGUGGUGAAAUGCGUAGAUAUCCGGAGGAACACCAGUGGCGAAAGCGGCUUCCUGGCCCAUUUCUGACGCUCAGACGCGAAAGCUGGGGUAGCAAACGGGAUUAGAGACCCCGGUAGUCCUAGCCGUAAACGAUGUGAACUUGGCGUUGGUGGGUUCAAAUCCAUCAGUGCCGCAGCUAACGCGAUAAGUUCACCGCCUGGGGACUACGGCCGCAAGGUUAAAACUCAAAGGAAUUGACGG